RNAcentral lists this unclassified non-coding RNA (306 nucleotides) under Hevea brasiliensis (rubber tree). The record is from RNAcentral. Lineage: Eukaryota; Viridiplantae; Streptophyta; Magnoliopsida; Malpighiales; Euphorbiaceae.
GAGUUCUGGCAGAGGUGUUUGUGAGCUCCUAGGGGUGGAUCCAGCUGAUGUAGAUGUUAUGAUGGGAACUUUUACGAAAUCAUUUGGAUCGUGCGGUGGUUAUAUUGCAGCAUCGAAGGAAAUUAUUCAGUACCUGAAGUACUCCUGUCCAGCACAUCUGUAUGCGACCUCCAUGUCACCUCCUGCUGUACAACAAGUUAUAUCUGCAAUUAAAGUUAUUACAGGAGCUGAUGGGUCUAAUAGAGGGGCUCGAAAAAUUGCACAAAUUCGUGAGAAUAGCAACUUUUUCCGGUCAGAACUGCAAAA